AGUGCUGGGAUUAUAGGCGUGAGCCACUGCACCAGGCUGACAUUAUUCCCAUUUUACAAAUGGAGACUUGGGGGCUCAAAGAGGAUAGGAAAUAUGCCCAAAUCCCACAGCAUAUGAGGCAAAAAGGAGAUGCAAGCCCAAGCUUUAGUGUUCACAUCCUCUCUACAGCACCACAUGAAGGAUGACGCUUAAUGGCCUACGGCCUGUUCUUUAACUGUAUCAAACCUUCUCCCCAUUCCCACCCUUUCAAUUAAGUACUGGUUUUGGUGGCCAAACUAUAAAGAAUAAGGCUCAUCAGGUGGGGCCAGCCAGCCCUGUAAGGGGAAUCUGAGAAAGUGAAUUGGGCCAUACUUCGCUCAGCACCUGGCUCAGAGCAGAGGUUUAACUGGACUUCAAUAGCACUGCUGAAUGAAUGGAUAAAUGUGUUUUAAAUUCAAGAGUAAUGAGAAGUUGGAGAUGGAUGUUGGUGAUGGUUGUACAACAAUGUGAAUGUACUUAAUACCACCAAACUGUAAGUUUAGAAAUGGUUAAAAUGGUAAAUUGUAUGUUGAAUGUAUUUUAUCACAAAUUUUGAAAAAGUCAAACGUGCAUGGGGAGACUGGAGAGAGUCAUAUAAAGCCAUAUAAAGGAAUUUACUUAUUAUCAACUGUUUUAUUAUUCAUUUGUUCUCUGCCAGUUGAAAGCAGUCACAUUCUGCACAAAACAAACUGACAUAUACAAAGCUAACUUAAAAAGAUGUAUAAGACCUUAAAUAAGAUGUGGCAUCGAGAUGACCUGGAUUUAAGGGUGACAAAUGUUGUGGUUGACCACAGUGGGUUCUGGAAUUAGAUUGUCUAGGUGUAAUGCCUGGCUUUUUGUCUCUUAGCUGUAUGAACUGGGACCAGUUAUUUAAUGUCUUUUUUUCUCAUCUGUAAAAUGAGGAUUAUAAUACUAGCUAACACAUAAGAUUCUUGGGAGCUAAUCCAGGUAAGAGACAAGCUAUAAUGCUUUGAAAGCACUCAAAAAAUCCCAACUAUGAUUAGUAAGGCUCCAAAAGUGACUAAAAACGAAGGGCCUUCAGUUAUCAGUCUAACUCAAACCAGGCUCCUGCCUGUAAACAGCUAUGAGUGACUUCGUGUGUCAUCUUUCCUCUCUUUUCCCUAGGUAUGGAAUAUUCUCUAUGCUGACCUCUUGAAUAAUGCCCCAAGAAUGCAUGCCUUUCUUGAUCAUUCUGUGAAAUAUUGCUCAGUACAGGAACGAGUGAAUUGUAGAUGGAUAAAUAUCUAAACAAACUUUGGUCAUGCUGCAAGCCUAGAGGAGUACCUGAUUCUUCUGGGUAUAGCUCAAGGAACACCCACCCCAGAAUGGAAGUCAUUUAGCAGGAAAGCAGUGCUCCGCUGUUCUCUGAGCACCAUUGACCACUUACUUAUUGGAUUGUGGAAGACACCUAACUCAAAUUUGGAGCAAGAAGUGGCUUGAAAUCAAGAUCUCUUCCCCAGAAGAGACAACAAUGAAUAGAUCUGCGGUUGGCUGAAUCCACCAAGGUGGAACCUGUGGAUACCAAGAACCAACUGUGUAAGAUCCCCAAGAUGUUAAAUCCUUUCGAAGAAGUAAAUGUCAACUGUGAGCAUCACAACAGCCUUCACUGGAGCAAAGGUCUUUCUGGGUGAUUCACAUGGUUUAAGCAACUCUCAUAUUAAGAUGACUCUAUCUAUCAUCCAUUAUAUUGCUGUUGAAGAGGAGUUGCUGGCUCAGCAGGCCUCUUUGUCUCUGUUCUCAUGACAAGGACAUAUCACCUAACUCUGGGCUCUGGCUCACUUAGCAGCUUCUUUGCCGUUGGACUCUCACAUCGAGAUGUCACCUAGCAGCAGCCUUUCCCAGGAAGUUGUUAAGGAGAUGGGAAUCCUCAUGCCUGCUGCUUUUUCCCAAAUAAGAGGCAGCCUGGGAGCCAGUUGCAAUAAAGUCUUGCCAGUAACGUUUCUCUUAAGAACGGGGAGAAAAUACUAUGAAAAGUCACAUUUACUUUGAUCUAGAAUUAAGUAAAUUUUGGUGUUUGGGUCUUUGGUAAAAUGUCACAAGUGGGAAGUCAGGACUCACAUGAUGUCCAGGCUUCUUUCUAUGAGAAUUAUUUUUAGUUUCUCUUGGUAUGCUUGGGUUUCAUAUUAUAUCCCCCAACCCCACCACCCGUAAAUAAAGGAGAACGAAAAAAGGGAGAAAGAAGUUUAGGAACGGGAGUGGCCCCUGCAGUUGUCUGCUUGGCAUCCAGCCUGCCUUGGUCCGUGGCAGCCUGUGGUCUGGGUGGGCGUUGCCCCUCGUCACGUCCUGUGGGGAGCUGUGAUUGGCUCACGCUCGUCAGGGCAGCCCCACCCCCUGGGCAAGUGGCUCAGUUCAAACUCAUGAGAUGUGAGCUUUGGUCACGAAGGCCCGUGCUUCUCUUUCGUGCUUCUCUUUAGAAAAAGCUACUCAAAGAAAUGAUCGCUUCCCGGAUGUUGUAGUCCACGAAUAUUAUGUCUGGAACAUCAGAGCCAUCUUGUCUCCAUGAUGGGAGUUUCACCUAAAGACAAAGCCAAAACCCAGCAGAGGACACAGCUGAAGGAACACGAGAAAGUGGCAUGGAAAGACUGAAGCCCCAGCACCGGCAGACCUCAGUUAUUGGAGCCAAUCAACCUCUUGUUACUGUUGAAGAAAUAAAAGAUCGCUGGGGAAAGAAGUCAUAAAUCCCUAAUUUAAUUGAAGUAUUGUCAAUAAUUGAAAUCAAUUAAAGAUUUAA
Cercocebus atys (sooty mangabey) is the source of this 2749-nucleotide long non-coding RNA. RefSeq lists it as uncharacterized. The record is from RefSeq and is a predicted model, not a curated record. Lineage: Eukaryota; Metazoa; Chordata; Mammalia; Primates; Cercopithecidae. The transcript has 7 exons.